GCCAACGGCCAUACCAUGUUGAAUACACCGGUUCUCGUCCGAUCACCGAAGUUAAACAACAUCGGGCGUGGUUAGUACUUGGAUGGGUGACCACCUGGGAACACCACGUGCUGUUGGCU
RNAcentral lists this ribosomal RNA (119 nucleotides) under Schistocerca americana (American grasshopper). Lineage: Eukaryota; Metazoa; Arthropoda; Insecta; Orthoptera; Acrididae. The record is from RNAcentral. RNAcentral also lists the same sequence under 1 other name.